CCUACGGGAGGCAGCAGUGGGGGAUAUUGCACAAUGGGGGGAACCCUGAUGCAGCGACGCCGCGUGGGUGAAGAAGCGCCUCGGCGCGUAAAGCCCUGUCAGCAGGGAAGAAAAUGACGGUACCUGAAGAAGAAGCCCCGGCUAACUACGUGCCAGCAGCCGCGGUAAUACGUAGGGGGCAAGCGGUAUCCGGAUUUACUGGGUGGAAAGGGGGCGCAGACGGCGAUGCAAGCCAGGAGUGAAAGCCCGGGGCCCAACCCCGGGACUGCUCUUGGAACUGGGUGGCUGGAGUGCAGGAGGGGCAGGCGGAAUUCCUGGGGUAGCGGUGAAAUGCGUAGAGAUCAGGAGGAACACCGAUGGCGAAGGCGGCCUGCUGGACUGCAACUGACGUUGAGGUCCGAAAGCGUGGGGAGCAAACAGGAUUAGAUACCCGAGUAGUC
RNAcentral lists this ribosomal RNA (440 nucleotides) under uncultured bacterium. RNAcentral's name for it is "partial 16S ribosomal RNA". It matches the Rfam family "Bacterial small subunit ribosomal RNA", at positions 338 to 795 of the family's 1533-position model. The record is from RNAcentral.